UAACAAGGUUUCCGUAGGUGAACCUGCGGAAGGAUCAUUAUCGUUGGGCUCCUGCCCAUUCGAGAUAACACCCUUGCCUUUUUGAGUACCUUUUCGUUUCCUCGGCAGGCACGCCUGCCAACGGGGACCCUUCAAAACGCUUUGUAAUACCUGUCAUUGUCUGAUAUAACAAGCAAAAAUCAAAACUUUCAACAACGGAUCUCUUGGUUCUGGCAUCGAUGAAGAACGCAGCGAAAUGCGAUAAGUAGUGUGAAUUGCAGAAUUCAGUGAAUCAUCGAAUCUUUGAACGCACAUUGCGCCCUUUGGUAUUCCUUAGGGCAUGCCUGUUCGAGCGUCAUUUAAACCUUCAAGCUCAGCUUGGUGAUGGGUGACUGUCCCCUCCCUUCGCGGGGGGACUCGCCUCAAAAACAUUGGCGGCCGGUACAUUGGCUUCGAGCGCAGCAGAAACGCGGUCUCGAGCCCGGUGGAUCGGCUCCCAUAAGCCUCAUUCUUUAUUUUGACCUCGGAUCAGGUAGGGAUACCCGCUGAACUUAAGCAUA
RNAcentral lists this ribosomal RNA (539 nucleotides) under Preussia sp. 'pseudominima'. Its description in RNAcentral is "eukaryotic LSU rRNA". The stretch from base 184 to 337 matches the Rfam family "5.8S ribosomal RNA". Lineage: Eukaryota; Fungi; Ascomycota; Dothideomycetes; Pleosporales; Sporormiaceae. The record is from RNAcentral.